AUUCUUAACCCUACCCUAAUCUAUUGCCUUCUCCCUCAACUCAAAUGGUAAGGGUUUCUAAUUUACCUAAGCAAGUUUUAAACCAGAACCGAUAACUUUUCAACUAGGAACUAUCAUAGAAAAACAUGUGUCCAUUUUGGUGAAAUGUGCUCCAAUUCAUUCGAUAGGAUGAGACCUUUCAGAGGCAUACAACCAUGUCGCCUUUUCACCUAAGGGUGAAGUGAUUUUAGAUUUGUAAAACUUAAAUGCAGACCAGAACAUAAUAACCGAGAAACAGAUGGUUGGGAAAACAAAAGUUCAGACUGAUGGAGAGGAGCUUUUUUUUUACUGUUACUGUUUUUACUGUUUUAAGUGCCUGAGGAAUUAUGAUCAUCCUUCUCAGACAUUGGGAAAAUCAAGUCAGCUAUUCCUAUUAAAGUAUCUAUCAAUAAUUCCAAGCCUCUAUCCAAUAUUUGACAAUAACUACUUAGAUCAGAGGCAUUAAAUGGGAUAAGACCUAUUACUCAGGCAUUCCUUGUACCGGUCCUUGUACCAGCCCAAUUUUACUGGUAAGAAAGUCAAAUGAGGAAGGCUAGAGGUUUGUUCAGGACCUGAGAGCUAUAAAUAACAUUGUGAUCCCUCACACCCUGCUCCGAGUCAUUCCAGCAGACACCUAUUAUUUCUCAGUAAUAGACCUAUGUAGUGCAUUUUUUAGUAUUCCAGUGAAAGAAGAAAGCCAAUACCUCUUGGUCUUUAUGAGGGAAGAUUGUCAGUAUACCUGGGCAGUUAUGCCACAAGGCUAUACUGAAAGUCCCACUUAUUUUCCUCAAAUACUUAAAGCUGAUUUGGCUGUUCUUCACUUCCCUAAUGGCUCUGUUUUAAUUCAACAUGGAGAUGAUUUGCUUUUGUGUCUGAGAACUGAACAGGACUUUCAAAGAGACACUAUCCACCUGUUAGAACAAUUGGCCUCUAGGGACAUAAGGCGUCCAGAGGCAAACUGCAAUUCUGUUUACCAAUUGUAAAAUAUUUGGGUCAUUUGAUAUCCAAGGAAGGAUUAAUUGAUUCUCAAAGAAUUAAGGGAAUCCUGGCUUUCUUACUGUCCAAAACAAAGAACUAGCUAAGAGGAUUUCUAUGUUUGACUGGAUAGUGUAGGAAUUGGGUACCGAAUACCUCUCUCAUUUCCCAACCCCUCUAUAGGUCAUUUAACUAUGACAUAUCAGGCCCAAUUGAAUGGACAACAGAAGGAGAAAAGGCUACAGAUGCCUUAAAAUCUUCAUUGACUCGGGCUCCAGCAUUAGGCCAUCCUAAUUAAAAAUUACCAUUUUUUUCUUUGUGCCUGAAGACAAAGGAAAUGCCCUAGGGGUGUGUUAACUCAGAAGUGUGAUGACCAGCAUCAACUCAUAGGUUAUUAGUUAGAUUCGGUGGCAAAAGGACUCCCUCUCUGUAUGAGGGCUAUUUCAGCAACAACUCUCUUGUUCAAAGCUACUGAAGAGCUUAUAAUGGGGUAUCCUUUGACUAUCUGUCAGUGGAGUCUCUUUUAAAUUCUCAUCACACUCAGUACUAUUCUGUGAGUAGAGUCACUUCUUACAAGGUACUGUUGCUUUCUUUGCUUAAUAAUAUUUUGGUGCAAUUCAGUAAUCUGAACCAUAUAACUUUGCUUCCAGCACCACAGGAAGAAAACAGUAACAAUUGUUUUUUACCAACUGAUUAAAUUCUUACUCCUAGGAAUGAUUUACGAGAAACCCUAUCGAUAACGCUGACUUAAUUUGGUUUACAGAAGGAUCUUACUUAAAGGAUGAACAGGGACAUUCCGAGCUGGAUAUGCAAUAAUGUCCACUGUGGACAUGAUUAAAAGUUUUUACUUACCAGAAGCAAAGUUGGCACAGCAAGCUGAAUUAAUUGCUCUAAUCAGGGUUUGUCAGCUAGCCAGAGAUCAAAUAGCAAAUAUUUACACUGAGGCUUUUGGAGUGGCUCAUGAUUUUGGAAUGCUCUGGAAGCAAAGAGGAUUUCUUACUUCCCCAGGCGAACAUAUAAAAAAUGGGAAAAUAGCCUCAGAAUUAUUAGACUCUAUAAUUACUCAAACAAUUGGCUAUUAUGAAAAUACCUGGACAUUCCAAAUCUGAUUCAAUAGCUAAAGGCAAUCAAUUCACAGACUCAGCAGCUAAAUGAGCUGCUUUAUGUUACGUUUCCAACCAGCUCUGAGAAUGUCUAACACUUAAACCUGACCUCAAUGUAACUGUUAGGAAAUUUCUCCUACAGUUUCAAGAAUUAGCUGCAGAAGACAAAAAACAAAUAUGGGAGAAGAAAGCAGAAUUCUUUGAUUCCCAUUUCAUAAAUAUGGUUUUGACCAAAUAAGAGGCCUAUAGUGCCCACAAGGCUCAGUUACCCUUACUCCAGCAUGUGCAUUCCCUGACACAUUAGGGCCCUGAAGAAAUAAAUUUUGGGGGGGAAAGCAGUAUAAUUGGAAGCCCUCCCUAUGGUAACCAACAAGGCAUAUGCUUGAUGCACUAUUUGCCCUAAGCAUAAUCCCAGAAAACCACUCCAUUGGUCACAAGGUCACUUUUACCUUCCUAAGGGACCCUUUGAGGUAUGGCAACUGGGCUUCAACCAAAUGCCAUUUCACGGAUAUAAAUAUAUUUAUAAUGACAUAUAUUUUCACACUAGAAUUAAGCUUUUCCAUGAAGGAGAGCACUGGCUUUAAUAAUAGGUAAAUUACUGUUGGAAGAAAUAGUUCCUGGUUCAGGGAUCCCUUCCGAGUUGCACAGUGACCAAGGGACUCACUUUACUGGACAAAUAAUUAAAUCAAUUUGUGAUAUUUGCCCAAAAGCAUGCUUAUUAUCCCAAUUUUGGGGAUUGGUAGAAAGAACAAUACUAUCAAAACUCAACUGGCAAAAUUCUCAGAGGCUUUUCAUCUUUCAUGGCCAAAAGCCUUCCCAUUGUUGCGUGUCAACCUUGGAUAUAUCCCUUUUAGUAAACAAUUGUCCCCUUUUGAAAUAAUCACUGGGCAAUUUAUGGGCUUAGAUGAAGGCAUUUAACCAGCGUUAUUUAAGCAUAACAUAUUAUAUUAUUGCCAAGGACAUAUUAAAGCACUUAAAUAAAAUGAAAAGCUAAUAGCUAAUUCCUUCUAUGGUGAACUCCUAGGAGACAAAGACUCUAAGGACCACAGGUGACAGCAUGGAAAUUUUGUGUACUAGAAAAGAAAUCAGAUGAAGAACUCUUUAUAGCUACAUUGGAAGGGCCCAUAUCAGGUAUUACUAAUAAAUCCUUGGCUGCAAAAAAGGAGUAAGCUUUUAGAUUCACAUUUCUCACCUAAAAAAGGCCUCCUCUCCUGAUAUGCUUCAACUCCUAUUUCUGACACCUGGCUUUGACUAAGUCCAGCACUAUCAGACCAAGAUGAGUAGAUGAUAUCCAAAGUAGACAGCUGAUUCAAGAUGCUAGAAGAGCAUGUAUACUAAUUACUUUAAUAAUUACUCACUUUUGAUUAUGAAUAAAAUGUAUUUAUUUCUUUGGCUCAAUCAUAUGCAAGUUUCAAAAAUCAAUUCAAAUGCUGGGUUUGAGACCAAUUAUCUGUAUCCAGCAUUUCUGGAUUACUCCAGUGUUUUUCACCAAUUCAGGGUUCAGACUGGCUAGCCCUUAGAGAUUUUAUCUUGAAAGAAAUUCUAUCACUGUGCAAACCACCAAUGAUAUCACUAAGUGGAACUCUCUUACCCGGCCAAUUAAUGACACCUGUUCUGAACCUAGCCAUCAGUACUCUUUUUCACUAGAUGUUACUCAUUUCCAAUCAGAGCAGCAUGCUAAGGUUAAGCCCAGAAACAUAACAACCCAUCUCUUUUGGUGGCAUUAUUUCCCAGUUAUGAGAUAAAAUUAUUUGGCUCAUGCCAGGAUAUGGCUACUUGAAUAUGAGGGUCUCUCUUUAUUGGGAACGAAUUAAUUAUAUCAGAUAAUCAACCUAGCACUACUCAUAAAUUAUGGUGGAUACCACCUGAAAAUUGUCAAAAUACUAUAACUCUGAGGACCCCAGUGAUUGGUUUGGAACUGAUUGGUUAAGACAACCAGGAAUAUAUUGGGUAGCUCCUAAUGGGACCCACUGGAUUUGUGGAAUGAAUUUAUGGCCUUGGCUUCCCCCAGGUUGGUUAAGGAGAUACACAACUUUUUUCCCUUGGGCUUAAGGUCACUUACAGUUAACCCUGGAAACAGUCCUUGCCAAUAUGCCUUUAAUACGUGCACACUGGGUUUGAUCAGUUUUCCAAUGAUAUAAUCAUUUGGUCAUCAUAAUUGUUCCUUCACUUGGAAUAGAAGAUUAUCAUUACUCACACAGAGGUUUUAACAAAAUUUACUAAGCAAGCUUUGAGUAACAGUCAUUAAGCCAUUAUCUUUCUAAAUUCAGAAGUCCCCAUGAUAAUAAAAGCAGUCCUACAGAAUCACAUGGGCUUUGAUAUGCUAACAGCUUCCAAAGGGGCAAUCUGUGUUAUAAUGCACACUGAAUGUUGUGAAUUUACACCUGAUGAUUCUUCUAAUGUAACUCAUUUUUAUGACCUUUGAAGAAUAAAAUUUCUGCUAUGAAUAAUCCUCUUAGUUUAGGGGGCAUACUAGGAAAAAGGUUUGGUUUAGGAGGAUUUUGGCUUAAAUCUUUACUAAUGAUGUUGUUUAUUCUUACUGGCAAUUUUAAAUUGCAGUUUGUCUAACGUUUUUUUUUAGGGCUGCACCCGUGGCAUAUGGAAGUUCCCAGGCUAGGCUUCGAAUCAGAGCUGCAGUUGCCAGCCUAUACCACAACUACAGCAAUGACAGAUCUGAGCCACCUCUGUGAACUACACCACAGAUCACGGCAAUGCCAGAUCUUUAACCCACUGAGAGCGGGCAGAGAUUGAACCUGCAUCCUCAUGAAUACUAGUCAGGUUCAUUACUGCUAAGGCACAAUGAGAACUCCAGAUUGUCUAAUUUAUAACGUGAUUCUUGCUUUUCAACACUAGUAUCGCCUACUUCUACUAAGAUAAUGAUGUCUAAAUGACUUGAAACUAUUGAUCAUAUCUAUAGUUCUCUAUAAAAUAAUAGACAUACACAAUGAACCUGCAAUGCAAAACUGGCAUAAGUCUUAUUGGACAACUUAGAAUUGACCUUCGGUCCCUGCUGAACAUCCUAUAACUUCCCCUCCCCAGAAAAAGAAAAAAAAAGAAGAGAACUGGGCUAUUAGACCCCACAUCAAGGGACAUAAUUCACCUAGGGCAGGAGACACCCAUGGGAUGCAGAAGUUCCUGGGCCAGGGAAUGAACCCAAGCCACAGCAGUGACAAUGUUGAAUCCUUAACCACUAGGCCACCAGGGAAAUCUGAAUAUUGUUCCUUUAUUUUAGAAUGAAUAAAUGCUUAUGGGAA
RNAcentral lists this long non-coding RNA (5350 nucleotides) under Sus scrofa (pig). Its description in RNAcentral is "lncRNA (ENSSSCG00045023453.1)". Lineage: Eukaryota; Metazoa; Chordata; Mammalia; Artiodactyla; Suidae. The record is from RNAcentral.